RNAcentral lists this long non-coding RNA (207 nucleotides) under Setaria italica (foxtail millet). Its description in RNAcentral is "long non-coding RNA (SITA_LNC004048)". The record is from RNAcentral. Lineage: Eukaryota; Viridiplantae; Streptophyta; Magnoliopsida; Poales; Poaceae.
CACUAUUGUCGGACGAGUGACAGUCCAGAGGCUGCUAACUGAAGCACUCGCCGCAUCCACUCCGAGGGAGUUCCAGAUACUCGCAGCAAAGGGGCAGUGAAACAUAAUGUGGUCGCAAUCUUCAGCUUGGCCGCAUAGCUCACAUGAAUCAUCCUUCGGGAUCUGCUUCUUGACUAGGUUAGUGCGACAUUGAAUGCGUUCUUGGAC